RNAcentral lists this ribosomal RNA (333 nucleotides) under uncultured bacterium. RNAcentral's name for it is "bacterial SSU rRNA". It matches the Rfam family "Bacterial small subunit ribosomal RNA", at positions 338 to 662 of the family's 1533-position model. The record is from RNAcentral.
CCUACGGGAGGCAGCAGUGGGGAAUUUUGGACAAUGGGCGCAAGCCUGAUCCAGCAAUGCCGCGUGAGUGAAGAAGGCCUUCGGGUUGUAAAGCUCUUUUGUCAGGGAAGAAACGGUCUACUCUAAUACAGUGGGCUAAUGACGGUACCUGAAGAAUAAGCACCGGCUAACUACGUGCCAGCAGCCGCGGUAAUACGUAGGGUGCAAGCGUUAAUCGGAAUUACUGGGCGUAAAGCGUGCGCAGGCGGUUUAUAUAAGUCAGAUGUGAAAUCCCCGGGCUCAACCUGGGAACUGCAUUUGAGACUGUAUGGCUAGAGUGUGUNAGAGGGUAGG